CAACCACAGCAACAACAACCACAGCUGCCCCAACAACAACCACAGCUGCAGCAACAACAACCACAGCUGCCCCAACGACAAUCACAGAAGCUGCAACGACAACCACAGCUGCUCUAACAACAACUGCGACACAAGGCUUGGAAUCACUGGUACAUCUCCAGAUGAAGAUAACUUCUAUUGGAGAGGUCAGCAAUAAAACCAUCAUUGAAGGUGUGAAACAGUUUUUCAGAGAACAGCUUCUGAAUUCAACAGCCUACACGAUCACCGUGACAAACAUUCAAAGGGUUACAGUUGCUCCAUAGAAGCUGCUUGUGGAUCUAUAAAGUCACCUCAACCAUUUUACUUGUUGACAGUUGGAACACAACACAUCAAUUUCCCCAAAUCAUAAGAAGUAUCUAGAUUGCACUUAAGGUUCAUCCAUGCUCUGCUGUGCCACACUACAUCCUGUAAUGCCCUGCAGCGCCCUGAUAUGACAUGAACUACUAUUAUCUUUAAUGUGACUAUU
This is a long non-coding RNA of Perca fluviatilis (European perch), 505 nucleotides long. RefSeq lists it as uncharacterized. The transcript is spliced from 3 exons. The record is from RefSeq and is a predicted model, not a curated record. Lineage: Eukaryota; Metazoa; Chordata; Actinopteri; Perciformes; Percidae.